UGCAUGUUUAUGUAAUAAGGACGAACAGCUCAGUAGAACUACGAUUAUUUAGUCUGUUUGAUAAAGAUAACUACGUGAAAAUGUAGCUAAGAGAGAACAGAAUAAGACGUAGGACUAUCAGUUAGUUGGUAGUGUAAUGGACUACCAAGACGAUGACGGGUAACGGGGAAUCAGGGUUUGAUACCGGAGAGGGAGCCUGAGAGAUAGCUCCCACGUCCAUGGACGGCAGCAGGCGCGAAAAUUGCCCACUCUUUGUAGGAGGCAGUUAUGAGACGUGAAAUUGAAUAUUUUGUAAAGAAGAAUAGGAGAAUUGGAGGGCAAGUUUGGUGCCAGCAGCCGCGGUAAUACCGACUCCAAGAGUGUGUAUGAGAGAUGCUGCAGUUAAAAAGUCCGUAGUCAUAGAAAGAUAAAUAGGGAUGAGAAGUCUCUUAAAUUAGCGAUAGAAAAGCCGAUGGGGAACAUAGUAUACCAGGGCGAGAGAUGAAAUGCCAAGACCCCUGGUGGACUAAGCGAGGCGAAAGCGAUGUUCUUGUAGGUAUUUGAUGAUCAAGGACGAAGGCUGGAGUAUCGAAAGUGAUUAGAUACCGCAGUAGUUCCAGCAGUAAAAGAUGCCGACAUGUUCAUUGGAAACAGUGGACAGGGAGAAAUCUUAGAGUUCGGGCUCUGGGGAUAGUAUGCUCGCAAGAGUGAAAAUUAAAGAAAUUGACGGAGCUACACCACAAG
Molecule: ribosomal RNA, 723 nt
Filed under: Microsporidium sp. CRANFA
Lineage: Eukaryota; Fungi; Microsporidia
Description: bacterial SSU rRNA
Rfam family: Microsporidia small subunit ribosomal RNA
Source: RNAcentral